This 97-nucleotide ribosomal RNA is filed under the name Dryocola boscaweniae. RNAcentral describes it as "partial 23S ribosomal RNA". It matches the Rfam family "Bacterial large subunit ribosomal RNA", at positions 2828 to 2925 of the family's 2925-position model. Lineage: Bacteria; Pseudomonadati; Pseudomonadota; Gammaproteobacteria; Enterobacterales; Enterobacteriaceae. The record is from RNAcentral.
GAAGGAACGUUGAAGACGACGACGUUGAUAGGCUGGGUGUGUAAGUGCAGCGAUGCAUUGAGCUAACCAGUACUAAUGAUCCGUGAGGCUUAACCUU